UACAGAGGUCUCAAGCGUUGUUCGGAUUCAUUGGGCGUAAAGGGUGCGUAGGCGGCCAACUAAGUCAUACGUGAAAUCCCUCAGCUUAACUGGGGAACUGCGUGUGAUACUGGAUGGCUUGGAUGUGGGAGAGGGAUGCGGAAUUCCAGGUGUAGCGGUGAAAUGCGUAGAUAUCAGGAAGAACACCCGUGGCGAAGGCGGCUCUCUGGAACGCAACUGACGCUGAGACGCGAAAGCGUGGGGAGCAAACAGG
Molecule: ribosomal RNA, 253 nt
Filed under: uncultured bacterium
Lineage: Bacteria
Description: partial 16S ribosomal RNA
Rfam family: Bacterial small subunit ribosomal RNA
Source: RNAcentral